Molecule: long non-coding RNA, 1896 nt
Organism: Brassica napus (rape)
Lineage: Eukaryota; Viridiplantae; Streptophyta; Magnoliopsida; Brassicales; Brassicaceae
Exons: 2
Source: RefSeq, a predicted model, not a curated record
AUGAUUAGAAUAAGUAUAGUUUUUCUUUAGAGUCUAUCGAGUCUGCAUUUAGUCUGCAUAUGUUUUAGAAGAGUCAUUUCUAUUCAUGUGGGGGAUUGUUGGGCCUAAUUAUUAAGCCUAAUGGCUCAAAUAAUAUAUGGCAAAAUGUGAAAAUGAAAUGGGCCUAUGGGUUCUUACAAAAAGCCUUGUUGGCUUUAAUGAAAUGAAGUUAACAACAUCCCACAUUGGUUGGGAGAGUUGAUUUUGAGGAGUAUAUAUAUGUCUUCAUGACAUGAGAGGAAAAAACAACUCAGAGGAAGAGAGAGCUCCCCACGCGCGCACCGCCGCCGCCGUCCGGCCGGCUCGGCGUGGCUUGGGCUUGGGCUUGGGCUUGGGUGGAGGGCCUUUGGCCCGAUAAGAACUAUUCUUUUUGGACCAAGUUAAGCUCAACGUUUUGCCAGUUAUUUCGGGAAAAAACAACAUACAAUUUUAUUUAAAACGACAAGUAGUUUGUCUAAAAAAUAAAAAAACGUCAUGCAUGUUAUCCUCUCGAAAAUUUAAAACGAGAUAAGAGAGAGUCUUGAGGAAGAAGUUUCGGAACUCAACUUCCCUCGAUCUCCGCGAGAUUCUCGCCCACGUGCAGCAGCUGUUGCGGGAAGUGGGUCUUCUCCGGCUCUUUAAAAUAUCGUCUCUCCUCUUCCUUCAUUUCAGAAUUUUUUUUUCCUGAUCGAAAUCCAACAGCAAAAAAUCCCUCUGCGUAAGUCUAUAUUGCGAGAGUGUUUCGUAGAGUUUAUAGUUCGAUAGGGCGAUCACGAGUGAGGCGUGAUUCGUCUGCCAUGGUUGUAUCCUGGGACUCUAUAUUCGUACAGUCCCGUCUCACUAACGGAGCGAAUAUUUUGAGUUAAGGAAAGAGAUCAUAUCUCGCCUCCAUGUCUAUUUGCGAAUACGGUUUCUUAUCGUCCUCGUAUUCGUUUUUAUAUAUUCGUCUAUUUCCUUAACUUCGCUUUUAUUAUAUCGUUUACAUCGGUCCGGUUUUCCGGCUUUUACAGGUUUAGCUGUCAAGAUGGCUCCGCUCGCGCUUUUUAGACCUAACGUGGAUGAGAUCUCUCUUCUCUCCAUCGACACAAGUACGUUAAAGCCGGUAAGUCUCUCUCUGGCUAUAUGGUGUAAUCUCAAUGAGACUUAAAGAAGUAAAAAGAGUGAAGCAGGAGGAUACAUGGUUGGAUUCGCAGGCUCGAAAUACGCAAUAAGAUCUUAUCCUGUAAAGGUCGCAGAUGGAAGCAACACAAUAACAGAUCUCACACUUGUAAUGGAGUUUCAGAAGGGAGUGCUGCAGAAUCUGUUCUGGAAGAGCUUUGGAUGCGAAUCAUGCAAAGGAGCAUCUUCUUCUGUGUGUCUGAAUCUGAACGGGACGGAUUGCGGUCCCAACAGAAAAGUGCAAAGCUAGUGGAGGCGAAGCUAAUUGCAACAUCCAAAUUCAUGUGGCGUUUUCAGGGACAGACAAGAACCUCGAGUCAUUUAACUCUUGGUACGACGUUAACAAUCCGAGGCAGUACUCGCUUACCGCCCUCUAUGCAAAUGCUGUAAAUUCUUUGAGUGGAAGACAUUUGUAAGAGAGAGAGAGAGGCACAUUGUAAUGCAACAGCUGCUAUGUAACUGAGGUUCCUAAAUAGGUCUUUUGAACUUUCAUGUCUUAACAAUGAUGAAGCAAAUAACUUACACCUCCCAAGUUUGCAGACAAAAACAACAUAUCAAUAAGAUAAAUGCAAAAGAAAGAAACACACAAAAGGUUUAUAUACAGAACCCUUCUGUCAUUGUUGUAAACAAAACCCCGCAAAUUGAUGUUUUAUACACAAGGAAGAAUAUUUAAAAGAACCCCAAAAAAGCACUAAAAAGAAAAAGAGAAUCAAAAUGUAA